RNAcentral lists this ribosomal RNA (253 nucleotides) under uncultured bacterium. RNAcentral's name for it is "partial 16S ribosomal RNA". It matches the Rfam family "Bacterial small subunit ribosomal RNA", at positions 524 to 776 of the family's 1533-position model. The record is from RNAcentral.
UACGUAGGUGGCGAGCGUUGUCCGGAUUUACUGGGUGUAAAGGGCGUGUAGGCGGGUUAGUAAGUCAGAUGUGAAAUUCCGAGGCUCAACCUCGGCGCUGCAUCUGAAACUGCAAAUCUUGAGUGCUGGAGAGGAAAGCGGAAUUCCUAGUGUAGCGGUGAAAUGCGUAGAUAUUAGGAGGAACACCAGUGGCGAAGGCGGCUUUCUGGACAGUAACUGACGCUGAGGCGCGAAAGCGUGGGGAGCAAACAGG